UGUGCCUACGGGGCGCAGCAGUGGGGAAUAUUGGGCAAUGGGCGCAAGCCUGACCCAGCGACGCCGCGUGAGGGAAGACGGUCUUCGGAUUGUAAACCUCUUUCAGCAGGGAAGACAAAAGGACGGUACCUGCAGAAGAAGCCACGGCUAACUACGUGCCAGCAGCCGCGGUAAUACGUAGGUGGCAAGCGUUAUCCGGAAUUACUGGGUGUAAAGGGCGUGUAGCCGGGCUGACAAGUCAGAUGUGAAAUCCGGGGGCUCAACCCCCGAACUGCAUUUGAAACUGUUGGUCUUGAGUAUCGGAG
This 305-nucleotide ribosomal RNA is filed under the name uncultured bacterium. RNAcentral describes it as "bacterial SSU rRNA". It matches the Rfam family "Bacterial small subunit ribosomal RNA", at positions 333 to 654 of the family's 1533-position model. The record is from RNAcentral.